UGACCGUGUGACAGGGCCCAUUGAUUAGAAUCGUUUUGUUGCUAAAUGUGCGUGGAAUCGAAGCGGGGUUCGUCGCGGAAUAUUUUUGAUUUAGGUGUAAUCAAUUUAAAAAUAUUAAAGGCAAAUCCCUUGAUUUUAAGGUGCUCCUAACGUUGAAGGUGCUGCGGGCGGAAGGUACUGAUGCUGCUCAUGGCAAUGAAGGAGCUGAGGGCAGAAGGUACUGGUGGUGCUCCUGGCGAGGAAGAAGCUAAGGGCAGAAGGUUCUGAUGGUGCUCCUGGCGAUGAAGAUGCAAGCGUUGAAGGUGCUGAUGGUGAAUCCCAAAUCUGGAAAUAAACAAAAAUAUCAAUUAAAAUUUAUAAACAUAUAAAAAGUCUCAAUAUAUACCUCAAGAAUGUGACUAA
This is a long non-coding RNA of Rhagoletis pomonella (apple maggot), 402 nucleotides long. RefSeq lists it as uncharacterized. The record is from RefSeq and is a predicted model, not a curated record. Lineage: Eukaryota; Metazoa; Arthropoda; Insecta; Diptera; Tephritidae. The transcript is spliced from 2 exons.